Molecule: long non-coding RNA, 1305 nt
Organism: Chroicocephalus ridibundus (black-headed gull)
Lineage: Eukaryota; Metazoa; Chordata; Aves; Charadriiformes; Laridae
Exons: 4
Source: RefSeq, a predicted model, not a curated record
GCUCCCCGAAGUCGAUGGCGAUGUUGGUGAUGCCGAGAGGGACGAGGAAGCGGAUGAGGGGCCAGUAGUUGGAAGGAAGCAAGGAUUUCCUGCCUGCCUGCUUUAUGCAUCGGGAUACCACCGCUGGGAUCCCACGAGCCUGCGUCGGAAGGAGCCUGGGAGCUAGAGGAGCCUUGCAUGAUGAAUUUUCUCCAAGACUAACAUCCAGCAAGGAAAGCAAUUCAGACCAGAACAAUAGAGUGGCUGGAGCAGUUUGUAGAGCUCUGUGAUCAGUUCAAAGUUGCUAACUUGAAGAAAAUGGAGGAAGCCUGAUAUGACGAUUUGGUAUCUGUGCAGGAUAUGAGAGAGUCAUUGUCAACCCUGGUAUACCAGUAUGAAAUGGCCAUCAAGAAUUCCUCAUAUAUGACAGUACUUCAGUGGUUCCUCAUGUUUGGAGUAAGAAAUAUGGGCAGUGUAUCUGAUAAGAUCUGCUAGAUAAAUGGUGAGUUCUUUAUGGUUAAUAGUGUACAAUCUACUUAAGCUUAGAACCUGUGACCUCUACUUAAGCUCAAAACCUGUGGCAACCAAACCUCUUCUAGGAGAAUCAAAUAUACAGCUCUCCUUGCUGCCUCUUGCAGGAGGCAGCAAAGUUCAGUGGUAACUCGAUCACUGUGUAAAUGUCUGGCAUUUCCCUCUAUUCAAGGAAAAUUGUAUGGUACACAUUUACUCUCCAGGCAAUCCAUCAAGAGGCCUGUGUAAGCCAAGGAGUGUAUGUUCAUGUCAAAUAUUUCACUCAUAAUUCUUCUUUUUUCAUCCUGAAGCUUGUUUAAGAGUAGCACAAAGUGGAUAUGUGUGGGUGUGGAAGGCUUUCCUAGCUGAGACCCACAUGUCUGGAAUUCUCUCUCCAUAGUCAUCAACUGGCCGAGUAAAUAUCCUGUGUGGGAUCCUUCACAGAAAAACUCACAAUCUCUUCCUUUUCUCUUUAUCAUGGUUUCCCUAUAAUUGUUGUGUGGUUUUGACAUAAGGGAAAGAGGGGAUAGUGUUUUGUGUUCAGAGUGUCUCCCAGGUGCCACUCUGAGGUCCCCGAACAUAAUUAUUUUUGUCUUAUGCAGUUCAAUUAUUUAUUAAUGAGAUUCUAGCCAGUUGUUACUAAGGAAAGAGGAGUUUUCCAAGAAAGGUUGCUGUUAAGUAUUUGAAGGAAACUACAACAGUCACAACCUUCACUAAGUUUUGAAUGGCCAUCUCAGUAACUCUCUUGCAUUCUGGUCCCCGGAGGGCAUCUGGAGAAUGUCAGUUGGCCACGUGAUGUCCUCCACUUCUGCUGAC